UGCGCUUUCCUCUCCCUCAUUUUCACGAUUCUGGGAAAAAACAAAUGGAAGAACACAGAACAAAUCUUCUCCCCCUAUAUCUCAAUUUCGUUCGCGAUGAACAACCAUGGCGGAUUUUUUCCUUUGCUCAAACAACAACGAACCGGCCCUCGUUUCACUCUUGGCCUCUCUCACGAUCUUUCGCUCUCUCUCUCUCUCUCUCUCUCUCUCGGUUCUCUCGGUGGCUCACAGUCUCUCUCGCGGUGCUCACUCUCACGAUGAUUUCUCUCACUCGGUUUCUCACCGAGCAACAGCAACACUCAGCCAUGGAGGAUUUUCUGGAAAGCUUUGGACAAAUAUGAUGAAUAACAAGGAUGAACUCAACUCUACAUCAAAUCCUAAUUUGAUUUUACCAGAAUUAUGAACAGUGGCGGAAAUCUGGGGGAAAACUUACAGCAACAAAUAAUUAACAGUGAUAUAAGAGUGGUAGUAGAAAGGACUUACCUGCGGCAAGGAGGUGUUUGCCGGAUUAUUCAUCGAGGUUGAAGUUGAUGUGGGGCUGCAACUGAAAGUUGGAGGCUUUUGAUGAAGGUGAUGCCACAACACCUCUUUGGACUUAUGGGAGCGCCUUGAAGAUGGAACUUCAAGUUGUUGGAAGCUUGAAGAUGAAGAUCUUCAAGAAAGGUAUGAAGAACUACCUUUUCCUUCUUCCUUACUUUGUAACUAGAAUGCUCACCUCCAAUAGAGAAUCUCUUGGCUUGAGAAUUUCUUCUUGCCAAGAGGUCUAUUGAACAAUAUAUGAGCAAUAGAGAGAGAAGAGAGAAAGCAAGAACUUAAGUUGCUUUGGUGUAACAAAUACUAUGGAGAGCCCUUCUAUUUAUAGGCAAAGAAAAGGAUAUGUUAGGCAUUAUGUAACUUGGUAGUCAAGUUUGUGAUUCUUGUAAGAAAGGAAUAUCCAUUGUGACAUAAGCAAAAAGAUUCCACAUGACAUAAGCCAAAAGAUUCCUUUAUGACAUAAGCCAUGUGAGAAAAUUUUCAUGUCAUUUUAUGAUAUCUCUAAGUUGUAGAAAUUUAUGACAUAAAAAUCUCUCUUUGACUUUCUUUGACUUUCUUUGACUUUUGACUUGAUUUGAACUUUUGCUAAAUUCACCCCUUUUAUGUCUCUUUUUUCUUUCAUGUCAUAUGAGGACUUUUGAAGAAAACAUGAAGAAGGAGACUUGGACAUCAAGAAUGGAUACUUGAAGAUUUCAAGAAUGGAUUCAAGAAUGUUUUUUUUGUACUUUCUUUUAUUCUUGUAAUUCCAAAAGAAUUUGUAUGAACUUGUAUUCUUGGAACUUUGAAUGUAAUCUUGAAUUUUGAAUGAAGUCCACUUUGGAAUUUAGAACUUUGUAAAGAAUGAUCUUCAUUUGUGGA
Long non-coding RNA from Vicia villosa (hairy vetch), 1392 nucleotides. RefSeq lists it as uncharacterized. The record is from RefSeq and is a predicted model, not a curated record. Lineage: Eukaryota; Viridiplantae; Streptophyta; Magnoliopsida; Fabales; Fabaceae. The transcript has 4 exons.